AGCUUGCCUGAAACUAUAAGGACUACUUUGAUAAAGCAGACAUGGAAUUAAACCAUACUCCCACUUCCCG
Molecule: transfer RNA, 70 nt
Filed under: Intellagama lesueurii (Eastern water dragon)
Lineage: Eukaryota; Metazoa; Chordata; Lepidosauria; Squamata; Agamidae
Description: tRNA-Ile
Source: RNAcentral